UGAGAUAGCCAUGUCUUCGUUGAGGUCCCGGACCUCAAGCGUGGCCGUGUUGAAUCGCGCCACGAAGUAUCGAAGCGUCUCAUUCUCCCCCUGUUUGAGGGAGAAAAGGCUGUCCGACGUUCGCGGCGGCUUCCGGCUGGUGCUGAAGUGAGCCACGAAAGAGUGCUCGAGCUACCCGAAGGAGUGGAUACUUCCCGAUCGAAGACCGGAGUACCAGGCCCUGGCAGCCUUGCGGAGUGUGGCGGAGAAGCCGAUGCAAAAGAGAGCGUCGAUUGCCCCUUGGAUCGUCAUGAGAGCUUUGUAGCUCUCAAGGUGGUCGAUUGGGUCGGUGGAGCCGUCGUAUGGCUCCACGUGCGGCAUCUUGAACCGACUUGGGAUCGGUUCG
This 385-nucleotide long non-coding RNA is filed under the name Elaeis guineensis (African oil palm). Its description in RNAcentral is "long non-coding RNA (EGUI_LNC074760)". The record is from RNAcentral. Lineage: Eukaryota; Viridiplantae; Streptophyta; Magnoliopsida; Arecales; Arecaceae.